Molecule: long non-coding RNA, 1936 nt
Filed under: Neodiprion lecontei (redheaded pine sawfly)
Lineage: Eukaryota; Metazoa; Arthropoda; Insecta; Hymenoptera; Diprionidae
Description: uncharacterized LOC124293549
Source: RNAcentral
AGAAAGCGGUAGCGGUGGGCAUUUGCUAACGACGGUGCAACCUGCAGGGACAAUGCAAAUGAACGAAAAGGCCGCCCUUCGCCGCUGCCCACUUGACGCCCUUUUUUUUAUCUUCGAACCCGCAGCGCUUAAACGAACCGCAAUUAAACCACUGCGGAAAAUCCGCGCUCCGUGGAUGGGUAAUUGGACUGGAUAGGUGCAGUUCCAGGCUUUGAACUUUCCUCCCUUUCGCACCGCCGCAGUCAGGUACGAUGGAAAAGUCCGAUUUCGACGCCCCGACCACGUUCGAUAUUCAAGGGCUAUUCACAAUCGUCAAUUUCACCAUCGACUUCCGAGACCAAGGCGCCAAGCUCCGGGUACUCGAUCCCGAGAACACUGACCGGCUACCCGUGGCGCGACCCUACCGUGUUAAUCAACGCGACGUGGCGAACGGGCUUGCCACUCGCCUCUAUUGAUGGGAGGAAGAUGAACAUUGAACACGCUUGUCGUCCCCCGGCUGCCACGGUCCGAAUGGUCAACAACGGCUGGUUAGCUACGCUGGCAUACCGUCCGCCCUGCGGUGUACACUCCACCUGAAUUAGGUGUUGGCUCUCUGUGUUCCCAUCUGCACCACCUAGCAUCGUUUGAGCGAGCAAUUGCGUCUAUGGGCUACAUAGUCGAAUGGACAAGGUCCAUCGCGCUGGGUGAUGAUGUUGCGCAGGGAAGUCGAAAUUGAAACUGGGAUGCUGCACGCUGAUCAACGAUUACCCUGAAAACGGUACUACAGUGACUGGUAAUGAGCCUGGACCUGAUGCUGUGUCUAAUUUAUAUACUCGUUCCAAGUUUCGUCGGGAAUUCAGGUGAAUUGAAACAUACAUACAUACAUCCAAACACACAUACAUACAUACAUACAUGCAUACGUAAACUAACUGAUCAGUUGUCGUCAAAGCCAUGUUCGAGAGGGUCCGAAUCCCAGCACCGACUGAUGAUGGUCGUGCGCAGUGCAUCGCGUUGUACGGACUGAACGAGGACGUUGCCCACAUGCUGUGAUUUAAUUAAUUAGCACGAAUUAAUACCAAUUAGUAGAGAGCCUGUUCGACCGACAACAGUUCAUGUGGAGGAAAGGGGGGAGGAUGGAGUGCAGGGAUGAUCCUUGGCUCGAGAAUGCAUGCCUCUAGUCGAUGCAGUCAUUGGGCGAACAUGGUGUAGGGUGCCGACCACAACAACUCUGACACACGGAGGAGGGAUGCAUGCGUCCCAAUCAUCCGGAAACGGUGAAACGGCUAUCGGAUCUUCAACGGCUGACUUCGAACGGCAGUUUUCGGCGCUCUUCUUGGAUCAGAGAGAGUGGGGACCACCCCGACGGAAGAUGACGGUGAUCUUCGGAGCGGUUUCCUGAAAACCGCGGGCUGAUGGCAGCACCGACUUGCGUAAAAGCACAAGUAAUCAAGGUGUCGACAGUGCAGAACCUGAACCCUGAAUCCUUCGCUGGACUCGAAUUCGAAGCGAAACUUACCCUGGAGGACACGCAACCUCCUGGAGAUACGGACUGGGACGGAGACUUGAACGAGUUGUAGCAUUUCUUACUGUCGACAAAGGACUUGCUAGUGCUGUUGGUAACGUCGAUGGUGUCCUUGCUACUGUAACUGAUCGCAGCCAGGCACCGUUCCUCGUCCUCGUCAUCACAGCCACCUUCGCAGGGACCGAACCUCUUCUUCCACCACUCGGCCAGACGUCGGCCAAGACCCCGUUUCGAGGGUUUGCUGGGACACUCGGGAACACAGUACUCCGCGUUUUCAUAAAGCACCGCUACGCUGGGAGGGGCACCCUCUUCUUCGGGGGAUUUAGUCGAUGCCUUGACCUUGGGCAUCAUCUGGUAAUCACCGCCCUGCUUGAUCUUGUCGCCUUCGUCCCCAAGCCCUUGGAACGAUAAGAGGGUUUCAGUCUGUGUUUAAAC